RNAcentral lists this transfer RNA (76 nucleotides) under Candidatus Colimonas fimequi. Its description in RNAcentral is "tRNA-Arg". It matches the Rfam family "tRNA". From Rfam's summary of the family: Transfer RNA (tRNA) molecules are approximately 80 nucleotides in length. Their secondary structure includes four short double-helical elements and three loops (D, anti-codon, and T loops). The record is from RNAcentral. Lineage: Bacteria; Bacillati; Bacillota; Clostridia; Peptostreptococcales; Anaerovoracaceae.
GGGGCAUUAGCUCAGCGGAUAGAGCAGUGGGUUCCGGACCCAUGUGUCGGGAGUUCGAGUCUUCUAUGCCUCGCCA